Molecule: ribosomal RNA, 500 nt
Filed under: uncultured bacterium
Lineage: Bacteria
Description: partial 16S ribosomal RNA
Rfam family: Bacterial small subunit ribosomal RNA
Source: RNAcentral
AUUGAACGCUGGCGGAAUGCUUUACACAUGCAAGUCGAACGGCAGCACGGACUUCGGUCUGGUGGCGAGUGGCGAACGGGUGAGUAAUAUAUCGGAGCGUGCCCAGUCGUGGGGGAUAACGUAGCGAAAGCUACGCUAAUACCGCAUACGAUCUACGGAUGAAAGCGGGGGAUCGCAAGACAUCGCGCGAUUGGAGCGGCCGAUAUCAGAUUAGGUAGUUGGGGAGGUAAAGGCUCACCAAGCCGACGAUCUGUAGCUGGUCUGAGAGGACGACCAGCCACACUGGGACUGAGACACGGCCCAGACUCCUACGGGAGGCAGCAGAGGGGAAUUUUGGACAAUGGACGCAAGUCUGAUCCAGCCAUUCCGCGUGCAGGACGAAGGCCUUCGGGUUGUAAACUGCUUUUGUACAGAACGAAAAGGUCUCUAUUAAUACUAGGGGCUCAUGACGGUACUGUAAGAAUAAGCACCGGCUAACUACGUGCCAGCCGCCGCAGUAA